AGAGUUUGAUCCUGGCUCAGAGUGAACGCUGACGGCGUGGAUUAGGCAUGCAAGUCGAGCGAUCCUUGCUCUAGUUUACUGGAGUGCUUGCACAAAGGUAAACAGGAGCGCUGGAUAGCGGCAAACGGGUGAGUAACACGUGAACAACUUUCCCAAAAGUCAAGAAUAGCUUCGUGAAAAUGAAGGUAAUACUUGAUAUGGCAUUAGAUCAUAAGGUUUAAUGUUAAAGGCAGGGACCUUCGGGCCUGCCGCUUUUGGAUGGGUUCGCGUCCUAUCAGCUUGUUGGUAAGGUAAUGGCUUACCAAGGCAUAUGACGGGUAGCUGGUCUUAGAGGAUGGUCAGCCACACUGGGACUGAGACACUGCCCAGACUCCUACGGGAGGCUGCAGUCGAGAAUAUUUAGCAAUGGACGAAAGUCUGACUAUGCGACGCCGCGUGAAGGAUGAAGGUUUUCGGAUUGUAAACUUCUUUUAACAAGGAAGAAAAUUGUAACUCUAACAUAGUUGCAACUGACGGUACUUGUUGAAUAAGCCACGGCCAACUCCGUGCCAGCAGCCGCGGUAAUACGGAGGUGGCGAGCGUUACUCGGAAUCACUGGGUGUAAAGGGCAAGUAGGUGGUCUAUUAAGUGAGGGGUGAAAUCUCCCGGCUCAAUCGGGAAACUGCCUCUCAAACUGGCAGACUUGAGGACGGAAGAGGGAAAUGGAAUUCCUGGUGUAAGGGUGAAAUCUGUAGAUAUCAGGAAGAACACCAGCUGCGAAGGCGGUUUCCUGGUCCGUACCUGACACUAAAUUGCGAAAGCUAGGGGAGCAAACAGAAUUAGAUACUCUGGUAGUCCUAGCCGUAAACGAUGAGCACUAGGUGUCGGCGUUAGUCGGUGCCGCAGCAAACGCAUUAAGUGCUCCACCUGGGGACUACGGUCGCAAGGCUAAAACUCAAAGGAAUUGACGGGGGCCCGCACAAGCGGUGGAACAUGUGGUUCAAUUCGAUGCUACGCGAAAAACCUCACCAGGGCUUGACAUAUAGGGAGUAGCGAACCGAAAGGGGAGCAACCCGUUAAGUUCGGGAAUCUAUACAGGUGCUGCAUGGCUGUCGUCAGCUCGUGUCGUGAGAUGUUGGGUUAAGUCCCGCAACGAGCGCAACCAUUUUCCCUUGUUGCCACCAUACAUUGCUUGCAAUGUAUGAGCACUCUAGGGAUACUGCCUGGGAUAACCAGGAGGAAGGUGGAGAUGACGUCAAGUCAGUACGGCCUUUAUGCCCUGGGCUACACACGUGUUACAAUGACUGGUACAAAGAGCUGCCAACUCGCGAGAGGGAGCUAAUCUCUAAAAACCAGCCUCAGUUCAGAUUGGAGUCUGCAAUUCGACUCCAUGAAGUCGGAAUCGCUAGUAAUGGGAGAUCAGCACGCUUCCAUGAAUACGUUCCCGGGCCUUGUACACACCGCCCGUCAAGCGAUGGGAGUUGGGGGUACCCGAAGUCCUAUGUAGAUAGGCCGAAGGUAAAACCGAUAACUGGCGCUAAGUCGGAACAAGGUA
This 1534-nucleotide ribosomal RNA is filed under the name metagenome. RNAcentral describes it as "bacterial SSU rRNA". It matches the Rfam family "Bacterial small subunit ribosomal RNA". The record is from RNAcentral.